GACGAACGCUGGCGGCGUGCUUAACACAUGCAAGUCGAACGGAAAGGCCCUGCUUUUGUGGGGUGCUCGAGUGGCGAACGGGUGAGUAACACGUGAGUAACCUGCCCUUGACUUUGGGAUAACUUCAGGAAACUGGGGCUAAUACCGGAUAGGAGCUCCUGCUGCAUGGUGGGGGUUGGAAAGUUUCGGCGGUUGGGGAUGGACUCGCGGCUUAUCAGCUUGUUGGUGGGGUAGUGGCUUACCAAGGCUUUGACGGGUAGCCGGCCUGGGAGGGUAACCGGCCACAUUGGGACUGGGAUACGGCCCAGACUCCUACGGGAGGCAGCAGUGGGGAAUAUUGCACAAUGGGCGGAAGCCUGAUGCGGCAACGCCGCGUGCGGGAUGACGGCCUUCGGGUUGUAAACCGCUUUCGCCUGUGACGAAGCGUGAGUGACGGUAAUGGGUAAAGAAGCACCGGCUAACUACGUG
This 468-nucleotide ribosomal RNA is filed under the name uncultured bacterium. RNAcentral's name for it is "partial 16S ribosomal RNA". It matches the Rfam family "Bacterial small subunit ribosomal RNA", at positions 28 to 507 of the family's 1533-position model. The record is from RNAcentral.